Molecule: long non-coding RNA, 1487 nt
Filed under: Struthio camelus australis
Lineage: Eukaryota; Metazoa; Chordata; Aves; Struthioniformes; Struthionidae
Description: lncRNA (ENSSCUG00000007829.1)
Source: RNAcentral
AUGUGUUCUGUUUUGUUUGCUGCUUUAUCAUUUCCAACUGCCCAGUCAGGAUUAAGAUUACAUCUCUGUAGACUUUAUAUUCUUAGCAAAACUAAUAAGNNNNNNNNNNNNNNNNNNNNNNNNNNNNNNNNNUCCUUUUCACAGACAGUUCACCUCUAUUUUUCUUUACAGGAAAAUCACUUCAGUUUGUUCCCUGCAAUGGCAGCUAUGACUUUCUCCAUGUCUGUGACCAUUUUGACUACGUGGCUGUUGGAUCAGGAAUGUGUUGAGAUUCUCAGGGUGAAUGAGUGGGAAGGCCUGAUACCUUCUGGGUACUAACUACAUGCCAGACACUAGAAGCUGCAUGCAGUGUAAUCCUAUUGCAGCCAUCUCAUUACUGGAGUGUUUAUGUGAGAGCAAAGCAGAACACGUAAGGCAGAAAAAUUCUUAUUGACUUCAGUGGAUAUUGGCUUACGCACUCAGUGAGAGGUUCACUGUAAUAAACAGAGUCAAAACCAGAGAAAACAACAGACAACAGCCUGGGAAUGAAACGCCAGUCGCUACUUUCCUGACUCCACAUCCUGUAGAAGACCCAUAGAACGCUGACCUCUCCCUGCAUAUGAGCCAUUCAGAUUUGAUGAAGAAGCCUUAGCUGAGGGAGCUGAGGAGAUCUGUGGGGCCACGAUCCAGCCUGCACCCACUCUGUAGCUAAAAAGAGAUGUGCUUUUCUCGGGGCUGUCAAACUGGUGUUGUUCAUAAGCUGUAAAUUCCUACAAAUUAAUUUUAAGAGAUGGAAAAAGUGGUUGCUCGUAGGUAAUACAUGUGGACUUCAGCAACGUGAAAAAUUUAGGAGAAAAUGAGAAGAAAAAGAGAGAGAGAUUCUGCUUUCCUGCCUCCUUUAUAAAAGCUGGUUCACCGUGUUCUUUGUGAUUAUUGGUCUUUGGAAUGCUGAAAGGAUGAUGGAGCACUGGAGGUCCAUGAUAUGGGCUGUGUGUGAAGUGCAUGAAUACCUACUUCUUAUUGCUGAAGAAUUUAUACAAGAUAAGCCCAUAGGAGCAAGGACUUCCCAGCUCAUUCACAAACUUUCUCAAGUUAUCAGUCUCUUGAUUGGACAAAAGUUUCAGGACAGCGCCACAGGAAAUGGACCACUUACUUUCAACACCCUUCGCAUUUGGAGUGGUCAAGAGAAAAUCCACGAAAGUGGUUACAAUCAUGAGAGAUCCUGCCUUUAUCUGGACUUGCAAAGAUGCUGUCACUAUGAUGUAACCACUGCCCUGAAUGGCGGUGUUCUUUGGAUAGCCAGUGACACUGAGGCAAUCCAUUUUGCUUUCCCAGGCCUCUGCUGCUGAGAUUCAUCAGUCAUGACAAGCAUAAACUCCAGCACCCAAAUCCAAUUUUGAGAGCAUGGCGGAUCUCAUCUUUAGCCAUCUCAUCAGGAGACACAUUCCUGUGGUAGUUAGUGUCCAUACAUCAUCACGAAACAAAAGCUACUCCACUGCAGGGUAACA